RNAcentral lists this ribosomal RNA (221 nucleotides) under uncultured bacterium. Its description in RNAcentral is "partial 16S ribosomal RNA". It matches the Rfam family "Bacterial small subunit ribosomal RNA", at positions 1278 to 1500 of the family's 1533-position model. The record is from RNAcentral.
AAACUAGGUCCCAGUCAGAUUGCAGGCUGCAACCCGCCUGCAUGAAGUCGGAAUUGCUAGUAAUCGCGGAUCAGCAUGCCGCGGUGAAUACGUUCCCGGGCCUUGUACACACCGCCUGUCACACCAUGGGAGCCGGUAAUACCCGAAGUCAGUAGUCCAACCACGUGAGGACGCUGCCGAAGGUAGGAUUGGCGACUGGGGUGAAGUCGUAACAAGGUAUC